This 764-nucleotide long non-coding RNA is filed under the name Capsella rubella. RNAcentral's name for it is "long non-coding RNA (CRUB_LNC002014)". Lineage: Eukaryota; Viridiplantae; Streptophyta; Magnoliopsida; Brassicales; Brassicaceae. The record is from RNAcentral.
CAAUGUUUGUUAUUGGUUUCAAGUUUUCAAUUAAUGGCGGAUCUAAAAGCAAAGGAAAUACGUCAUACCACUAGAGAUUAAGUGGAAACAUAAACUUAAGCCUUACGUUUCCAUCUAUGUUCUAUGAUCAUAACGUUAAACACGAGUAUUGCAUCUCUUGGCUCACUAUAGAUUGCAUAACAAAAAAAAGAAAAAAAAAAAGCCCUCCACCAUCUUUUGACCAUAUUAGUGGAACCUUUAUGUGACAAUUCUCCAACUUUUAAAUCCUGACCCAGAAAAAAAAUCUCUAUCAUUAGAAUGGGAUGGGGAGCUUAUUUAAGCCAUGCAUACAAAUGUUAUUGGCUAACAUAUUUUACAACUUUAUGUAGAGAAAGACUAUAAAAGCUUAUUAUUAUACAAUAGAACUUUCUCCUAUGCUUUUACGGAAGCAUGACAUCCACACAAAAUAUCAAUCUCAUCCAUAAUCUCAUCCAUAACUAAUGUCUAACUCACAUAUUUUCCAAACAAGCAAAAUUUUCCAAAGAUUAGAUGUCAACAUUUGAAAAAGUUUUAGCGUGGUCUAGUUAUAACGACUCAAGUACAAAUUAAUACGAACAAAAAACACACAGGUAAACUUACAUUUAGUUGAUGCACUAUUGGAACAAUGACUCUUCAUCAGCUCGGUCUUAUCCAAAUAAAAAGACAUGUUGAUUCAGCAAAGAUGAUUUUGUAUCUCAAACCAGAAAGCUUGUGAUGGUUGUGCCAUGCCUGGAACGUAUUUGACC